CCAGCAGCCGCGGUAAUUCCAGCUCCAAUAGCGUAUAUUAAAGUUGUUGCAGUUAAAACGCUCGUAGUCUGAUGUAAUGGGGACUGGUGUGGGGAGCAGCAAUGCUCUUUGCUUCGGUCCUCAUCAACGGGACAGCAAUGUCCCAUUUUACUUUGAGGAAAUUAGAGUGUUCAAAGCAGGCGAUUGCUUGAAUACUGCAGCAUGGAAUAAUGGAAUAGGACUUUGGUGCUAUUUCGUUGGUUAAUGGGACCGAAGUAAUGAUUAAAAGGGACAGUUGGGGCCGUUUAUAUUUCGUUGUCAGAGGUGAAAUUCUUGGAUUUACGAAAGAUAAACUUCUGCGAAAGCAUUCGGCAAGGAUGUUUUCA
Molecule: ribosomal RNA, 365 nt
Filed under: uncultured eukaryote
Lineage: Eukaryota
Description: SSU rRNA
Rfam family: Eukaryotic small subunit ribosomal RNA
Source: RNAcentral